Molecule: long non-coding RNA, 507 nt
Organism: Drosophila grimshawi
Lineage: Eukaryota; Metazoa; Arthropoda; Insecta; Diptera; Drosophilidae
Exons: 3
Source: RefSeq, a predicted model, not a curated record
AGCAAUGUUAUUUUGAAUUGACAACUCGUUGAAUGCGGUCGUGUGCUGCCGGGCGGCGUGUUUGCAACAUUGUUUGGGAUCAAUUUUGCGCGGUUCCAAUAUCAAAAGCACAAAAAAAUAACAAAUUAUAAAUUAUUUAUAUCAUACUGCUGAAUUGUGCUGCACCACAGAUAGUUGUCAGUUGCUGAGCUUGUGUGUGUUUGCAACUGAUGCUUUUUUUGUUUUGUUUUGUGUGUAAAAUUUGUUGGUGUGCCCAGAAAGGGUGUGUACAAAAAAAAAAAAAACUACUCGUGUGCAGCUGUAAACAGGAGACGGGCGCAGGAGUCACGACCAGUGCGACAGAGAGAGGGAGGAAGCCAGAGCGAGAGAGACAAGGAGUGCAUUUCCCCCGUUGUGCGGUGCCAAAGUUAAUGUUAAACAAAAAAACGCUGAAGCAGCAACUUUAAGCCAACCCAUCGAGAAAGGAGGGGGCGUGUCGUUUGGCUAACGAUGUGGCUGACUGAUUUA